CGGAAUCUGCCUAUUUGUGGGGGAUAACGUAGGGAAACUUACGCUAAUACCACAUACGACCUACGGGUGAAAGCGGAGGACCUUCGGGCUUCGCGCAGAUAGAUGAGCCGAUGUCGGAUUAGCUAGUUGGCGGGGUAAAGGCCCACCAAGGCGACGAUCCGUAGCUGGUCUGAGAGGAUGAUCAGCCACACUGGAACUGAGACACGGUCCAGACUCCUACGGGAGGCAGCAGUGGGGAAUAUUGGACAAUGGGCGCAAGCCUGAUCCAGCCAUGCCGCGUGGGUGAAGAAGGCCUUCGGGUUGUAAAGCCCUUUUGUUGGGAAAGAAAAGCAGUCGGUUAAUACCCGAUUGUUCUGACGGUACCCAAAGAAUAAGCACCGGCUAACUUCGUGCCAGCAGCCGCGGUAAUACGAAGGGUGCAAGCGUUACUCGGAAUUACUGGGCGUAAAGCGUGCGUAGGUGGUUUGUUAAGUCUGAUGUGAAAGCCCUGGGCUCAACCUGGGAAUUGCAUUGGAUACUGGCAGGCUAGAGUGCGGUAGAGGGUAGUGGAAUUCCCGGU
This 559-nucleotide ribosomal RNA is filed under the name uncultured bacterium. Its description in RNAcentral is "bacterial SSU rRNA". It matches the Rfam family "Bacterial small subunit ribosomal RNA", at positions 119 to 674 of the family's 1533-position model. The record is from RNAcentral.